UACGAAGGGGGCUAGCGUUGUUCGGAAUUACUGGGCGUAAAGCGCACGUAGGCGGAUUUGUUAGUCAGGAGUGAAAUCCCGGGGCUCAACCUAGGAACUGCCUUUGAUACUGCAAGGCUCGAGUCUGGAAGAGGUGAGUGGAAUUCCUAGUGUAGAGGUGAAAUUCGUAGAUAUUAGGAAGAACACCAGUGGCGAAGGCGGCUCGCUGGGCCGGUACUGACGCUGAGGUGCGAAAGCGUGGGGAGCAAACAGG
Molecule: ribosomal RNA, 253 nt
Filed under: uncultured bacterium
Lineage: Bacteria
Description: partial 16S ribosomal RNA
Rfam family: Bacterial small subunit ribosomal RNA
Source: RNAcentral